RNAcentral lists this non-coding RNA (109 nucleotides) under [Bacillus] enclensis. RNAcentral describes it as "Bacillus enclensis TPP sequence". It matches the Rfam family "TPP riboswitch aptamer (THI element)". From Rfam's summary of the family: Vitamin B(1) in its active form thiamin pyrophosphate (TPP) is an essential coenzyme that is synthesised by coupling of pyrimidine and thiazole moieties in bacteria. The previously detected thiamin-regulatory element, thi box was extended, resulting in a new, highly conserved RNA secondary structure, the THI element, which is widely distributed in eubacteria and also occurs in some archaea. Lineage: Bacteria; Bacillati; Bacillota; Bacilli; Caryophanales; Bacillaceae. The record is from RNAcentral.
ACGAUCCACUAGGGGUGCCUUUCAUGAAGGCUGAGAUUAAAGUGUGACUUUAAGACCCUUUGAACCUGAUCUGGUUGAGACCAGCGUAGGGAAGUGGUGUUUGAAGGUU